CUGGUGCGCGGAGGCUCAUGGGUUAUGUAGUCAUAACCAGGCUUAAAGGAAGUCAUGUUCUCUCUGUACAGUAUUCACCAAAGUCAAGAUUAAGUAGAGGAAAAAAUUAUGGAAUCACUCAAUGUUGAGAAAAAAAAUUAUGGAAUCUUCAACAACAACAACAACAACAACAACAACAAUCAGAAUUAGUACAUUGUUGCUCCUCUUCUGGUUUUUAUGUUGGCGGAUCAGCUUUGCAGGAUGGAGCCUAGUCAUGGACCCAUUUAUUUACAUUUCCACCAUCGGAUUGAGAUCCGGACUGUUUGCUGGCCGAGUCAUUGAGUUGAUCUGCCGUUCCUGAAGAAAAGCUUUAACACUCUUUGUUCUGUUGCGAGAUGCAUUAUCAUCCUGAAACAUGGCUUCAUCAUCACUAAACAUAUUUUCUUUCGAUGGAAGGAGAAAAGUGUCCAAAAUUUCAGUGCAACCCCAUAUCAUAAACAAGUGGGGAAAUAUGAUUGUUUUCUUCAGGAAGUCAUCUUUAUAUGUUUUAUUAUAACGACACCAGACAAAAGUUCCAGCAUCAUCUCCUUGGCCAAUGCAGAUUUCUGAUUCAUCACUGAAUAUCACUAUCAUCCGAUCAUCCACGCUCCAUGAUUACUUCUCUUUAGCCCACUGUAACCUUGUUUUCUUCUGUUUAGGUGUUAGUGCUGGUUUUCGUUUGGCUUUUCUAUACGUAAAUCCCAUUUCAUUCAGCCCAUUGCUUACAGUUCCGUCACAAACAACUGACUACGUUUACAUGAACAGCAAUAAUCUAAUUAUUGACCUUAUUCUGAAUAAGACAAUAUUCUGAUUAAGGUGUUUACAUGAGUUGCUUUUAGAAUACUCUUUUCAUGUUCCUGUUUUACGUGUUAUAGAACAUAGAUCGAUUAACGGCACACGUCAUUACGUCACCACGCCGCGCCGUCCGACGUUCCUCCAGAAUUUCACGUAUCGACAUACAGUUCGUCUUCGUUAUGGUUCCGUAUACAGUUUUGGGUGUUUCCUUUUUAAAAGCUUCAAGUGGCGUUAAUUAUUUGUCAUGUUAUACGUGCAAAUAAACGACUGCUUGAAAUACAUUGAAAGCCAAAAUACACAUAUUUCACCUACUAUACAGUAGGUAAGUACGCGGUUUGGGACGCAGCCGUGCUCUCUUGUUUGCUAUGAAACGGUUGAGCGCUGCCGUGUGUGUACGUGUCCUGUGGCAAAAUGCAGUGAAAACUCCCACACGGCGUUAAUAGUGUGAUUAAGGUGUGUACAUGUCUGUAAUACACGUCGAUAAUGCCACUAAAACAGGAAUACUCCACAAGUCUUAAUUCGAUUUGUGUUUACUUCGAGGAUGACUUUAGUCGGAUUAAGGUCAUCAAUAUUCGCUGUUUACAUGCUAGUUUAUUAAUCAGAGUAUCGUCUUAAUCAGGUUAAUAUCAGAUUAUUGUUGUCCAUGUAAAUGUACUGACUCACUCCUGUUUCUAUUUGUUUUUCAUUUGUUUUGUUGUGCAUUUUCUAUUUUCAAGGAAUAUUACUUUGAGUUUUCUAUCCUGACGCUUUGGCGUCUUCCUUGGUCUAUUCGUAUGUUUUCAUUUUAUAACCUUCCCAUUUUGUUUAUACUUGCACCAAAUUUGUGUUGUAACGACGUCACAUGACACGUCUUGGCCCAAACCUCUCAGGAAAUCACACAGUAAUUUUGAAAAAUUGCAAGCUCCUCCGAACGUUGUGGAAUUUGCUCGAUUUUCCGUUGAUUUCUGCGGUCGCAAAAUCGCGAAAUCCUGGAGGCACCGACAUUAACCAGUGGACACGCAAACACUGACUACCGCACGUGCAAAUUUAACGUGACAUGCAAAUGUGUGACGGUAUGUGAAAAGAAUGAAUCGUGUCAGAAAAUCACGUCUUGAAAAUAAAAAAGUACAUGUGAUAACGUGUAUAAUAAAUGAACUGUGAAUUGCUCGUGUGAAUUUUCUGGGAAGAGAAGGAAAGAAAAGCAAGAGGAAUAAAAAGAAAAACAAUGAAAGUAAUUCAAAUGUCAGUAAAUCCAGGAAUAUAGACCCAUUACUCUCCUGAGGUGUAUUUGCAGUAGGCCAGCUCAGAUAGCACAUUUUUUUGCCAGCGUAAUCAUUAUCCUUUAAUAUCACCCUGGAGCCUGAAGGAGAGUUCACCUUCAUCACAUUCGCUCUAUAAAAAUGUCUAAAAUGUCGAGUCUAAUUAGAGAAGCAAUGAUCGAGUCCUACGCCUUGAUGAUCUUGGUGAUGGCGACGUUUUUUGUGUACUUCUGUGGUAUGGUCUGGGCGUUCUGCAACCCGAAACUCAGUGGUGCAGAGGAGGAAGACAUCGCAUUGGAGUGCGUGAGCGAGACGGGACAGAGUGACGGAGUUUCACUGGAGCUGUGUGUGAGGCAUGGAGAGCUGAGAGGCUGUGGAGCAUACACACCAGGUGGUACACAUGAUCGCCCGGUGAUGCUGGACAUACAGCCCUACAGCGGCUAUAUUAAUUACUUUUAUGACGUGGAUUAACUGUCGCUUUCUUUCAAAUUCAACAAUUUAUCCCAAUUUCAUGUGAAGUAGUGACAAAUAUACUGUAACUCCUGAGGUGGCAGACCCUCUCCGAAUAUCACACUUGCCAAAAUUCAGGACCUCAAAAGAUCACUAGUGGAUAUCCGUCUCUUCCUUCAGUGUUGUAUUCAUAGUAUCAUUUAAUGUUGUGUGCCAAUAUUUUUUACAAAUUGCGCUUUGUUCUGUCCCUUGUACUUUUGUUGACUGGUUAUAGAAAGGCUAUCGUGGUAAAAAAAAUCAAUGCUAAAUGUAAGGUGUCUCUUCAUUCUUAUAAUACACAUCACUUCUUUGACAAUAAUAGAAU
Molecule: long non-coding RNA, 2865 nt
Organism: Ictalurus punctatus (channel catfish)
Lineage: Eukaryota; Metazoa; Chordata; Actinopteri; Siluriformes; Ictaluridae
Exons: 3
Source: RefSeq, a predicted model, not a curated record